UACGUAGGGUGCGAGCGUUAAUCGGAAUUACUGGGCGUAAAGGGCGCGUAGGCGGCACAGCAAGUCGGGAGUGAAAGCCCGGGGCUCAACCCCGGAAUGGCUUUCGAAACUGCUGAGCUAGAGUACAGAAGGGGCAACCGGAAUUCCCAGUGUAGCGGUGAAAUGCGUAGAUAUUGGGAAGAACACCUGAGGCGAAGGCGGGUUGCUGGGCUGAUACUGACGCUGAGGCGCGAAAGCCAGGGGAGCAAACGGG
This 253-nucleotide ribosomal RNA is filed under the name uncultured bacterium. Its description in RNAcentral is "partial 16S ribosomal RNA". It matches the Rfam family "Bacterial small subunit ribosomal RNA", at positions 524 to 776 of the family's 1533-position model. The record is from RNAcentral.